AUUGAACGCUGGCGUCAGGCCUAACACAUGCAAGUCGAGCGGAGCGGCGGACGGGUGAGUAAUGCCUAGGAAUCUGCCUGGUAGUGGGGGAUAACGUCCGGAAACGGGCGCUAAUACCGCAUACUAUCAGAUGAGCCUAGGUCGUAUUCGCUAGUGGGUGGGGUAAAGGCCUACCAAGGCGUCGAUCCGUAACUGGGCUGAGAGGAUGAUCAGUCAAACGGGAACUGAGACACGGGCCAGACUCCUACGGGAGGCAGCAGUGGGGAAUAUUGGACAAUGGGCGAAAGCAUGAUCCAGCCAUGCCGCGUGUGUGUAGAAGGUCUUCGGAUUGUAAAGCACUGUAAGUUGGGAGGCGAUACCAACAGAAUAAGCACAGGCUAACUUCGUGCCAGCCGCCGCGGUAAGUC
This 407-nucleotide ribosomal RNA is filed under the name uncultured bacterium. RNAcentral's name for it is "partial 16S ribosomal RNA". It matches the Rfam family "Bacterial small subunit ribosomal RNA", at positions 30 to 526 of the family's 1533-position model. The record is from RNAcentral.